RNAcentral lists this transfer-messenger RNA (357 nucleotides) under Nevskiaceae. RNAcentral describes it as "SCRT01 sp004298465 Standard tmRNA". It matches the Rfam family "transfer-messenger RNA". Rfam says of the family: Bacterial tmRNA, also known as 10Sa RNA or SsrA, is named for its dual tRNA and mRNA-like properties. RNAcentral also lists the same sequence under 1 other name. Lineage: Bacteria; Pseudomonadati; Pseudomonadota; Gammaproteobacteria; Nevskiales. The record is from RNAcentral.
GGGGGUGACCAGGGCUCGACGGUGACUGGAAUUCCAACGUGCAUGCCGAGGUGCUUUCUUCCUCGUAAAACUUGAAAGCAAACAAGCUAGUUGCGAACGACUCCAACUACGCCCUCGCAGCCUAAUCCCUGUGAGCGAUUGACCAGACGGUGUUGAUGCCCCUGAAUCAAUCGUCGACUCUCAUCAACUCGCGGUAACGCAGGCUACUGGCCGAUCCGCUAAAUCCUCAAAGUAGAUAAGCGCAAGCGAUCCGUGCCGGUUCGGGAGUUUGCGAUGAAAAACAAAAAUUCGGCUAAGCAUGUAGAUCGAAGGCUGGAAGGUUGUCGGACGCGGGUUCGAUUCCCGCCACCUCCACCA